RNAcentral lists this ribosomal RNA (253 nucleotides) under uncultured bacterium. RNAcentral's name for it is "partial 16S ribosomal RNA". It matches the Rfam family "Bacterial small subunit ribosomal RNA", at positions 524 to 776 of the family's 1533-position model. The record is from RNAcentral.
GACGAACCGUGCGAACGUUGUUCGGAAUCACUGGGGUUAAAGGGCGUGUAGGCGGGCCAUAAAGUCAGGGGUGAAAUCCUCCAGCUUAACUGGAGAACUGCCUUUGAUACUGAUGGUCUCGAGUAAGGUAGGGGCAUGCGGAACUGAUGGUGGAGCGGUGAAAUGUGUUGAUAUCAUCAGGAACUCCAGUGGCGAAGGCGGCUACCUGGCCCACUCUUGACGCUGAGGCGCGAAAGCUAGGGGAGCAAACGGG